GCGCGCGUAGGUGGCUUGAUAAGCCGGUUGUGAAAGCCCCGGGCUCAACCUGGGAACGGCAUCCGGAACUGUCAAGCUAGAGUGCAGGAGAGGAAGGUAGAAUUCCCGGUGUAGCGGUGAAAUGCGUAGAGAUCGGGAGGAAUACCAGUGGCGAAGGCGGCCUUCUGGACUGACACUGACACUGAGGUGCGAAAGCGUGGGUAGCAAACAGGAUUAGAUACCCUGGUAGUCCACGCCGUAAACGAUGUCGACCAGCCGUUGGGUGCCUAGCGCACUUUGUGGCGAAGUUAACGCGAUAAGUCGACCGCCUGGGGAGUACGGCCGCAAGGUUAAAACUCAAAUGAAUUGACGGGGGCCCGCACAAGCGGUGGAGCAUGUGGUUUAAUUCGAUGCAACGCGAAGAACCUUACCUACUCUUGACAUCCUGCGAAUUUGGUAGAGAUACCUUAGUGCCUUCGGGAACGCAGAGACAGGUGCUGCAUGGCUGUCGUCAGCUCGUGUUGUGAAAUGUUGGGUUAAGUCCCGUAACGAGCGCAACCCUUGUCCUUAUUUGCCAGCGCGUAAUGGCGGGAACUCUAAGGAGACUGCCGGUGACAAACCGGAGGAAGGUGGGGACGACGUCAAGUCAUCAUGGCCCUUACGAGUAGGGCUACACACGUGCUACAAUGGUCGGUACAAAGGGUUGCCAACUCGCGAGAGUGAGCCAAUCCCGAAAAGCCGAUCUCAGUCCGGAUCGGAGUCUGCAACUCGACUCCGUGAAGUCGGAAUCGCUAGUAAUCGUGGAUCAGAAUGCCACGGUGAAUACGUUCCCGGGCCUUGUACACACCGCCCGUCACACCAUGGGAGUGGACUGCACCAGAAGUGGUUAGCCUAACGCAAGAGGGCGUCACCACGU
This is a ribosomal RNA of 895 nucleotides. It matches the Rfam family "Bacterial small subunit ribosomal RNA", at positions 565 to 1459 of the family's 1533-position model.